Camelina sativa (false flax) is the source of this 254-nucleotide long non-coding RNA. RefSeq lists it as uncharacterized. The record is from RefSeq and is a predicted model, not a curated record. NCBI's taxonomy places the organism in Eukaryota, Viridiplantae, Streptophyta, Magnoliopsida, Brassicales, Brassicaceae.
CUGAAAAAAAGAAAACCCUAGAAUCCAUCCUUAAUUAGACAAGGAAAAGAAGAAGAUGAUGCGCAUCCUAGGCAACAGUUUUGCUAAGUUUGGUCGCAUGGGGGGGAGGUUGCAGAGUCGUAACUUUUCAUCCGCCAGUGGGACAGCUGUCAACGCUGAUGUUCGUAGAUAUUUGGCUCGAGCGGUGGCAGGUGGUAUUGGAUACAUGAUCUGUGGUUUGAUAUUAUCAGAACCCGUCACAAAGCAAGCUAUGA